This 1109-nucleotide unclassified non-coding RNA is filed under the name Hevea brasiliensis (rubber tree). The record is from RNAcentral. Lineage: Eukaryota; Viridiplantae; Streptophyta; Magnoliopsida; Malpighiales; Euphorbiaceae.
AUUUUUUUAUUUAUUUUUAUAGAGAAGUACAUCUGGCGCCCAUAAUGGAGCCCAUAAAGCUUCUGGGAUGGAAGACACGUAAUAAAAGCCUCAUACUACUAAAUGCAUGUUACAAGCCACCGUGGCAAGUAAAACAGAUUGUUCCCCUACUUUAAACAAAGCAAGCUAAGAGCCAACAACAAUAUCACAAAUGAAACAAGGAAUCUACCAGCACUAGAAAUAUACGCAACUCGCCGGCUAAAAGAGCUCUGGCAAAACAGUGGUUCCAUCCAAAACUAUGCACCUCAACAAUAAUGGUCUGAGUGGGGCCUGCGGCACAAGAUCCGCUUCACAGCAGGAAACUAAUCGCUCCAUCUCCUCAGGCAAUAAAGAUUUUAUACGCUAAGACUCACAUCAAGAAUAAAUCACUGCUUGUUUCAAUGGAGCAGCAUACGAUCUCAUUUACAACAUGUACACCAGAUGAGUCACUUUCCAUCAUUAAUGACAUAAAUGACAUAACUCCUCUCAUGGCCGAUGCUGCAUAAAUCUGACCCCACUUCCAUGCAGAUUCAUGUGCCAGUUCUGCACAUCACAGGCAAAGGAACGCAUUCUUCAUCAGACUUCUAUUAGGCCACAUGCCAAAUAAAAGAAAAACCAGAACAUAAGAUCCAUCAGUGUGAGCAGUUCUUGCAGAGCUAGCGAAAUGACUCGAAAAUCAUAGUCUUCUUGCUUUAUGUUAUAUUUCUAUUUCUGUUAUUUCUUUUUUUUCCCCCUCCUUUCUUCCACAAAACAAUAAAUUUUUUCCACAAAACAAUAAAUCUGGGUAGUCAAUCUGAUCUGAACCCAAAAACAUCUUGAAACCCACCAGUAGAUUCAUCCGAGACAGUCAGCACACUCAGAAGGCAAAACAAGAAUCAAAUGAAACUGUAAUCCUAGAUGGCUGCCUCACAUUUUCUUCUUAGAUUCUAAAUAACAAAUUAUGCACAUCUCAAUGAUAAUAUGAAACCAGAAGACACAAACCGACAUCUGUCUCUAGCCAUGAAGAUGGAGACUACAGCUAGAUUCACCAAGAGGAGGAGACUUGGGUGCACUAAUCUUGCUAUCUUGCUUCUCCUGGCAUUUCUGGAGUU